Molecule: ribosomal RNA, 759 nt
Filed under: uncultured bacterium
Lineage: Bacteria
Description: bacterial SSU rRNA
Rfam family: Bacterial small subunit ribosomal RNA
Source: RNAcentral
GAUGAACGCUGGCGGCGCGCCUAACACAUGCAAGUCGAACGGCACCCCUCUCCGGAGGGAAGCGAGUGGCGAACGGCUGAGUAACACGUGGAGAACCUGCCCCCUCCCCCGGGAUAGCCGCCCGAAAGGACGGGUAAUACCGGAUACCCCGGGGUGCCGCAUGGCACCCCGGCUAAAGCCCCGACGGGAGGGGAUGGCUCCGCGGCCCAUCAGGUAGACGGCGGGGUGACGGCCCACCGUGCCGACAACGGGUAGCCGGGUUGAGAGACCGACCGGCCAGAUUGGGACUGAGACACGGCCCAGACUCCUACGGGAGGCAGUAGUGGGGAAUCUUGCGCAGUGGGGGGAACCCUGACGCAGCCACGCCGCGUGCGGGACGGAGGCCUUCGGGUCGUAAACCGCUUUCAGCAGGGAAGAGUCAAGACUGUACCUGCAGAAGAAGCCCCGGCUAACUACGUGCCAGCAGCCGCGGUAAUACGUAGGGGGCGAGCGUUAUCCGGAUUCAUUGGGCGUAAAGCGCGCGUAGGCGGCCCGGCAGGCCGGGGGUCGAAGCGGGGGGCUCAACCCCCCGAAGCCCCCGGAACCUCCGCGGCUUGGGUCCGGUAGGGGAGGGUGGAACACCCGGUGUAGCGGUGGAAUGCGCAGAUAUCGGGUGGAACACCGGUGGCGAAGGCGGCCCUCUGGGCCGAGACCGACGCUGAGGCGCGAAAGCUGGGGGAGCGAACAGGAUUAGAUACCCUGGUAGUCCCAGCCGUAAAC